Molecule: RNA transcript, 2548 nt
Organism: Triticum aestivum (bread wheat)
Lineage: Eukaryota; Viridiplantae; Streptophyta; Magnoliopsida; Poales; Poaceae
Gene name: 6-phosphogluconate dehydrogenase, decarboxylating 1-like
Exons: 4
Source: RefSeq, a predicted model, not a curated record
GUACAAGAUGGCUCUCACCAGAAUUGGUCUUGCUGGCCUCGCCGUCAUGGGGCAGAACCUCGCCCUCAACAUUGCAGAGAAAGGCUUCCCCAUCUCUGUCUACAACAGGACCACCUCCAAGGUCGAUGAGACUGUCCAGCGCGCCAAGCUAGAAGGAAACCUUCCUCUCUACGGUUUCCAUGACCCUGCAUCCUUCGUCAACUCCAUUCAGAAGCCACGUGUCGUCAUCAUGCUUGUCAAGGCCGGCGCACCUGUUGACCAGACCAUUGCGACGCUCGCAGCUCACCUGGAGCAGGGCGACUGCAUCGUUGACGGAGGAAACGAGUGGUAUGAGAACACGAAAAGGAGGGAGAAGGCGAUGGAGGAGCGUGGGCUCCUCUACCUCGGGAUGGGUGUUUCCGGAGGAGAGGAGGGUGCCCGCCAUGGCCCCUCCAUGAUGCCUGGAGGCUCAUUGGAGGCAUAACAGUACAUUGAAGACAUUCUUCUCAAGGUGUCUGCUCAGAUCCCUGACAGCGGCCCCUGUGUCACAUACAUUGGGAAUGGUGGAUCCGGAAACUUUGUCAAGAUGGUUCACAAUGGCAUUGAGUACGGUGACAUGCAGCUGAUCGCUGAGGCGUAUGACGUUCUCAAGUCGGUUGGCAAGCUUACAAACGGUGAGCUGCAGCAGGUUUUUGCCGAGUGGAACAAGGGUGAGCUCCUCAGUUUCUUGGUCGAGAUCACUGCUGAUAUAUUCAGCAUCAAGGAUGACCAGGGUGAAGGCUACUUGGUCGACAAGGUCCUGGACAAGACCGGGAUGAAGGGAACCGGGAAGUGGACGGUGCAGCAGGCUGCUGAGCUCUCUGUGGCUGCUCCUACCAUUGAGGCGUCCUUGGAUUCCAGGUUCCUCAGCGGACUCAAGGAUGAGCGUGUCGCGGCUUCCAAGAUCUUCCAGGGCGACUACUCCAGUGGCGAAACUGUGGACAAGGCACAGCUGAUCGAGGAUGUGAGGAAAGCCCUCUAUGCCUCCAAGAUCUGCAGCUACGCCCAGGGCAUGAACAUCAUCAAGGCCAAGAGCACGGAGAAGGGAUGGGGCCUCAACCUCGGCGAGCUGGCCAGGAUCUGGAAGGGCGGGUGCAUCAUCCGCGCCAGCUUCCUCGACCGCAUCAAGAAGGCCUAUGACAGGAACGGUGAGCUCGCCAACCUCCUGAUCGACCCUGAGUUCGCGCAGGAGAUCAUGGACAGGCAAGCCGCAUGGAGGAGGGUUGUCUGCCUCGCCAUCAACAACGGGGUCAGCACCCCUGGCAUGUCCACGAGUCUGGCCUACUUCGACUCCUACCGGAGGGACAGGCAAUUUUUUCUGGUUCAGUUGGGGGCUAAAUCUAGACUGCACCAAAAAUCAAGGGGCAAAAGGUACAAGAUGGCUCUCACCAGAAUUGGUCUUGCCGGCCUCGCCGUCAUGGGCCAGAACCUUGCCCUCAACAUUGCAGAGAAAGGGUUCCCCAUCUCUGUCUACAACAGGACCACCUCCAAGGUCGAUGAGACUGUUCAGCGCGCCAAGCUAGAAGGAAACCUUCCUCUCUACGGUUUCCAUGACCCUGCAUCCUUCGUCAACUCCAUUCAGAAACCACGUGUCGUCAUCAUGCUUGUCAAGGCCGGUGCUCCUGUUGACCAGACCAUCGCAACGCUCGCAGCACACCUGGAGCAGGGCGACUGCAUCGUUGAUGGAGGAAACGAGUGGUUCCUCAGCGGGCUGAAGGAUGAGCGUGUCGCGGCUUCCAAGAUCUUCCAGGGUGACUACUCCAGUGGUGAAACUGUCGACAAGGCACAGCUGAUCGAGGAUGUGAGGAAGGCCCUCUACGCCUCCAAGAUCUGCAGCUACGCCCAAGGCAUGAACAUCAUCAAGGCCAAGAGCACGGAGAAGGGAUGGGGCCUCAAUCUCGGCGAGCUGGCCAGGAUCUGGAAGGGCGGGUGCAUCAUCCGCGCCAGCUUCCUGGACCGCAUCAAGAAGGCGUAUGACAGGAACGGUGAGCUCGCCAACCUUCUCAUCGACCCCGAGUUCGCGCAGGAGAUCAUGGACAGGCAAGCUGCAUGGAGGAGGGUUGUCUGCCUCGCCAUCAACAACGGCGUCAGCACCCCUGGCAUGUCCGCGAGUCUGGCCUACUUCGACUCCUACCGGAGGGACAGGCUCCCUGCCAACCUCGUCCAGGCCCAGAGGGACUACUUCGGGGCGCACACCUACGAGAGGGUUGACAUGCCCGGCUCCUUCCACACCGAGUGGUACAAGAUUGCCAACUCAAAGAUCUAAGAUGCUGCUGCUGCUCUACCAAGAGACGGUCCAUCAGGUUUCGUCUUUCCGGUAUCCUUUGUUGCUGCCAGUCAUGAGUCCUUUUCCUGUAGGGGAGGAACCGCCGUUUAAUUUUUAUUAUUUGAGUAACGAGUCCUGUAUUUAUUUUCUACAAGGAGAUCACAUAUUCUCUCCAGUCUCCGCUACUUCCAUGUGAUUGAUCAACCCUGGAGGGAAGACAUUGCCAUUCUGAAUUAGUUUGAAUAAAAUGUGUUUUUACCUACC